RNAcentral lists this ribosomal RNA (429 nucleotides) under Actinomycetes bacterium. RNAcentral's name for it is "Actinobacteria bacterium partial 16S ribosomal RNA". It matches the Rfam family "Bacterial small subunit ribosomal RNA", at positions 355 to 776 of the family's 1533-position model. Lineage: Bacteria; Bacillati; Actinomycetota; Actinomycetes. The record is from RNAcentral.
UAGGGAAUCUUCCGCAAUGGGCGAAAGCCUGACGGAGCAACGCCGCGUGAGUGAUGAAGGUCUUCGGAUCGUAAAACUCUGUUAUUAGGGAAGAACAAAUGUGUAAGUAACUAUGCACGUCUUGACGGUACCUAAUCAGAAAGCCACGGCUAACUACGUGCCAGCAGCCGCGGUAAUACGUAGGUGGCAAGCGUUAUCCGGAAUUAUUGGGCGUAAAGCGCGCGUAGGCGGUUUUUUAAGUCUGAUGUGAAAGCCCACGGCUCAACCGUGGAGGGACAUUGGAAACUGGAAAACUUGAGUGCAGAAGAGGAGAGUGGAAUUCCAUGUGUAGCGGUGAAAUGCGCAGAGAUAUGGAGGAACACCAGUGGCGAAGGCGACUUUCUGGUCUGUAACUGACGCUGAUGUGCGAAAGCGUGGGGAUCAAACAGG